AGCGAACGCUGGCGGCGUGCUUAACACAUGCAAGUCGAGCGAAGGUGUUUCAAGGGUAACCUUGAGAUACACUUAGCGGCGGACGGGUGAGUAAUACGUGGAUAACUUACCUCUAGGCCUGGGAUAAACCCCGGGAAACGUGGGGCUAAUACCUGAUAAGACCACAUUGUCUACGGACAAAGGGGUAAAAGGUGGCUGUGCAAACAGCUAUCGCCAAAAGAUAGGUUCACGUCCCAUCAGGCAGUUGGCGAGGUAAUGGCUCACCAAACCAAAGACGGGUAGCCGGCCUUGGCGGGUGAACGGCCACACGGGGACUGAGACACGGCCCCGACUCCUACGGGAGGCAGCAGUGGGGAAUAUUGGGCAAUGGGCGCAAGCCUGACCCAG
Molecule: ribosomal RNA, 387 nt
Filed under: uncultured bacterium
Lineage: Bacteria
Description: bacterial SSU rRNA
Rfam family: Bacterial small subunit ribosomal RNA
Source: RNAcentral